This 480-nucleotide ribosomal RNA is filed under the name uncultured Akkermansia sp. RNAcentral's name for it is "partial 16S ribosomal RNA". Lineage: Bacteria; Pseudomonadati; Verrucomicrobiota; Verrucomicrobiia; Verrucomicrobiales; Akkermansiaceae. The record is from RNAcentral.
CACAGAGUUAGCCGUCUCUUCCUCUUGUGGUACUAUCUUUUUAAUUUGCUCCCACAUGACAGGGGUUUACAAUCCGAAGACCUUCAUUCCCCCACGCGGCGUCGCACCAUCAGGGUUUCCCCCAUUGUGAAUGAUUCUCGACUGCUGCCACCCGUAGGUGUCUGGACCGUGUCUCAGUUCCAGUGUGGCCGGACAUCCUCUCAGACCGGCUACCCGUCAUCGCCUUGGUGAGCCGUUACCUCACCAACUAACUAAUAGGCCGCGAGCCCAUCCCCAAGCGCAUUGCUGCUUUAAUCUUUCGAUACUAUGCGGUAUUAAUCCCAGUUUCCCAGGGCUAUCCCGCUCUCGGGGGCAGGUUACUCACGUGUUACUCACCCGUGCGCCACUAGAGAAUUAUUAGCAAGCUAGCAAUUCUCCCGUUCGACUUGCAUGUCUUAUCCACGCCGCCAGCGUCGUUCUGUAGCCACGGAGUCAAACUAC